Molecule: ribosomal RNA, 1486 nt
Filed under: uncultured bacterium
Lineage: Bacteria
Description: bacterial SSU rRNA
Rfam family: Bacterial small subunit ribosomal RNA
Source: RNAcentral
AGAGUUUGAUUAUGGCUCAGGACGAACGCUGGCGGCGUGCUUAACACAUGCAAGUCGAACGGAAAGGCCCUGCUUUUGUGGGGUGCUCGAGUGGCGAACGGGUGAGUAACACAUGAGUAACCUGCCCUUGACUUUGGGAUAACUUCAGGAAACUGGGGCUAAUACCGGAUAGGAGCUCCCGCUGCAUGGUGGGGGUUGGAAAGUUUCGGCGGUUGGGGAUGGACUCGCGGCUUAUCAGCUUGUUGGUGGGGUAGUGGCUUACCAAGGCUUUGACGGGUAGCCGGCCUGAGAGGGUGACCGGCCACAUUGGGACUGAGAUACGGCCCAGACUCCUACGGGAGGCAGCAGUGGGGAAUAUUGCACAAUGGGCGGAAGCCUGAUGCAGCAACGCCGCGUGCGGGAUGACGGCCUUCGGGUUGUAAACCGCUUUCGCCUGUGACGAAGCGUGAGUGACGGUAAUGGGUAAAGAAGCACCGGCUAACUACGUGCCAGUAGCCGCGGUGAUACGUAGGGUGCGAGCGUUGUCCGGAUUUAUUGGGCGUAAAGGGCUCGUAGGUGGUUGAUCGCGUCGGAAGUGUAAUCUUGGGGCUUAACCCUGAGCGUGCUUUCGAUACGGGUUGACUUGAGGAAGGUAGGGGAGAAUGGAAUUCCUGGUGGAGCGGUGGAAUGCGCAGAUAUCAGGAGGAACACCAGUGGCGAAGGCGGUUCUCUGGGCCUUUCCUGACGCUGAGGAGCGAAAGCGUGGGGAGCGAACAGGCUUUAAUACCCUGGUAGUCCACGCUGUAAACGGUGGGUACUAGGUGUGGGGUCCAUUCCACGGGCUCCGUGCCGUAGCUAACGCUUUAAGUACCCCGCCUGGGGAGUACGGCCGCAAGGCUAAAACUCACAGGAAUUGACGGGGCCCCGCACAAGCGGCGGAGCAUGCGGAUUAAUUCGAUGCAACGCGUAGAACCUUACCUGGGUUUGACAUGGAUCGGGAGUGCUCAGAGAUGGGUGUGCCUCUUUUGGGGUCGGUUCACAGGUGGUGCAUGGCUGUCGUCAGCUCGUGUCGUGAGAUGUUGGGUUAAGUCCCGCAACGAGCGCAACCCUUGUUCACUGUUGCCAGCACGUUAUGGUGGGGACUCAGUGGAGACCGCCGGGGUCAACUCGGAGGAAGGUGGGGAUGACGUCAAGUCAUCAUGCCCCUUAUGUCCAGGGCUUCACGCAUGCUACAAUGGCUGGUACAGAGAGUGGCGAGCCUGUGAGGGUGAGCGAAUCUCGGAAAGCCGGUCUCAGUUCGGAUUGGGGUCUGCAACUCGACCUCAUGAAGUCGGGGUCGCUAGUAAUCGCAGAUCAGCAACGCUGCGGUGAAUACGUUCCCGGGGCUUGUACACACCGCCCGUCAAGUCAUGAAAGUUGGUAACACCCGAAGCCGGUGGCCUAACCGUUGUGGGGGAGCCGUCGAAGGUGGGACUGGUGAUUAGGACUAAGUCGUAACAAGGUAUCC